Molecule: transfer RNA, 94 nt
Filed under: Coniella lustricola
Lineage: Eukaryota; Fungi; Ascomycota; Sordariomycetes; Diaporthales; Schizoparmaceae
Rfam family: tRNA
About the family: Transfer RNA (tRNA) molecules are approximately 80 nucleotides in length. Their secondary structure includes four short double-helical elements and three loops (D, anti-codon, and T loops). Further hydrogen bonds mediate the characteristic L-shaped molecular structure. tRNAs have two regions of fundamental functional importance: the anti-codon, which is responsible for specific mRNA codon recognition, and the 3' end, to which the tRNAs corresponding amino acid is attached (by aminoacyl-tRNA synthetases). tRNAs cope with the degeneracy of the genetic code in two manners: having more than one tRNA (with a specific anti-codon) for a particular amino acid; and 'wobble' base-pairing, i.e. permitting non-standard base-pairing at the 3rd anti-codon position.
Source: Rfam by way of RNAcentral
UCUUUCGUAGUAUAGUGGUCAGUAUAUGAGCUUGUCACUGCUUACUCAGCAGCUAACAUCGCUCGAGACCCGGGUUCAAUUCCCGGCGAAAGAG